RNAcentral lists this unclassified non-coding RNA (410 nucleotides) under Tragia benthamii. RNAcentral describes it as "partial external transcribed spacer". Lineage: Eukaryota; Viridiplantae; Streptophyta; Magnoliopsida; Malpighiales; Euphorbiaceae. The record is from RNAcentral.
CAUGCUUUACGCAUCGAACUGUGGAAUCGCGAUCUCGUCAGUCGAAGCCCAUGUCCAUUCUACCGCGUCAUGGGCGAAGGUCGAGUUCCUGUGUUGCAAACCCGCCAAAAGCGGAAAUCGGUUGCGUUGCGGUUUGAUUUUCGCCUCAUCCCCGUUAAGGGUGAUGUGGUGAACGUGGAUGCGCCUCUUCUGCUCCAAACAUGCUCGUCCAGCGUGUUGUGGUGCACUAGAAGGUUGCUCGUGCUUUGGGAUGCGGAAAACCCUAUGUAGCCGGAGGGGUCGAAUCCCUUCAUCGCUCAAAAUGUCCAUGAUAUUCGAACGACGCGCAACUCUCGUCUCUCUUCCUCGAACAUGCUAGGACUCUGGCUUGUCGGGGAUCGGGAGCGGGUGUUGGGCUCGUGAAGGAAUGC